UUCCUUUUUGCAUCUCUUACAUUAUUUUUUUCCCCUUCUAUAGAACACUAGAAUAUGUAUUUGACAUCUCAUAUUUUAUUAGAAGUUAUUUGAUGCUAGCCAUUCACAUUUAUGUACGGAUGUUAUUGUUAUGGGUUAUUGCUUUAAAUCUUGAAACUGGUUUUUCCAGAGGAACAUUGUAAAGUGGUAGAGGACCUACCUUUUGGGAUAAAGCGUAUGGACUGGAAGUAGAGUGUAUCAUGACAUAACCUGUAGCUCUUUAACAGUCUCGAGUGGAACAAUAGAAGAACUCUUCUCUAAUCCCUCCACA
This 310-nucleotide small RNA is filed under the name Vigna angularis var. angularis. RNAcentral describes it as "Non-protein coding transcript". The record is from RNAcentral. Lineage: Eukaryota; Viridiplantae; Streptophyta; Magnoliopsida; Fabales; Fabaceae.